This 91-nucleotide transfer RNA is filed under the name compost metagenome. RNAcentral describes it as "tRNA-Asp". The record is from RNAcentral.
GGGCUGGGCCGCUGGUUUAGCGGCCGGCGUCGUCGGCGUCGCAGCAGGGGUCGCAGCCGCCGGCGCCGCCGUGCGGACCGGCGCGGGCGCC